This 465-nucleotide ribosomal RNA is filed under the name Vreelandella stevensii. RNAcentral's name for it is "partial 16S ribosomal RNA". It matches the Rfam family "Bacterial small subunit ribosomal RNA", at positions 338 to 795 of the family's 1533-position model. The record is from RNAcentral. Lineage: Bacteria; Pseudomonadati; Pseudomonadota; Gammaproteobacteria; Oceanospirillales; Halomonadaceae.
CCUACGGGGCGCUGCAGUGGGGAAUAUUGGACAAUGGGCGAAAGCCUGAUCCAGCCAUGCCGCGUGUGUGAAGAAGGCCUUCGGGUUGUAAAGCACUUUCAGUGGGGAAGAAAGCCUUGGGGCUAAUACCCUCGAGGAAGGACAUCACCCACAGAAGAAGCACCGGCUAACUCCGUGCCAGCAGCCGCGGUAAUACGGAGGGUGCGAGCGUUAAUCGGAAUUACUGGGCGUAAAGCGCGCGUAGGCGGUCUGAUAAGCCGGUUGUGAAAGCCCCGGGCUCAACCUGGGAACGGCAUCCGGAACUGUCAGGCUAGAGUGCAGGAGAGGAAGGUAGAAUUCCCGGUGUAGCAGUGAAAUGCGUAGAGAUCGGGAGGAAUACCAGUGGCGAAGGCGGCCUUCUGGACUGACACUGACGCUGAGGUGCGAAAGCGUGGGUAGCAAACAGGAUUAGAUACCCUAGUAGUC